Molecule: transfer RNA, 75 nt
Filed under: Corynebacterium sp. HMSC072D12
Lineage: Bacteria; Bacillati; Actinomycetota; Actinomycetes; Mycobacteriales; Corynebacteriaceae
Description: tRNA-Val
Rfam family: tRNA
About the family: Transfer RNA (tRNA) molecules are approximately 80 nucleotides in length. Their secondary structure includes four short double-helical elements and three loops (D, anti-codon, and T loops).
Source: RNAcentral
GCGCGUUUAGCUCAGUGGGAGAGCGCUUCCCUGACACGGAAGAGGUCACUGGUUCAAUCCCAGUAUCGCGCACAA